Molecule: ribosomal RNA, 508 nt
Filed under: uncultured bacterium
Lineage: Bacteria
Description: partial 16S ribosomal RNA
Rfam family: Bacterial small subunit ribosomal RNA
Source: RNAcentral
GACGAACGCUGGCGGCGCGCUUAACACAUGCAAGUCGAACGAGAACCAGCCCUUCGGGGCUGGGGAAAGUGGCGAACGGGUGAGUAACACGUGGGUAAUCUGCCCUCGGCACCGGAAUAGCCCGGGGAAACCCGGAUUAAUGCCGGAUAGCCUCUCCAGCCCUCGGGUUGGUGAGAAAAGGUAGCUUCGGCCUCUGGCCGAGGAGGAGCCCGCGGCGGAUUAGCUUGUUGGUGGGGUAACGGCUCACCAAGGCGACGAUCCGUAGCUGGUCUGAGAGGACGAUCAGCCACACUGGGACUGAGACACGGCCCAGACUCCUACGGGAGGCAGCAGUGGGGAAUCUUGCGCAAUGGGCGAGAGCCUGACGCAGCGACGCCGCGUGCGGGAAGAAGGCCUUCGGGUUGUAAACCGCUUUCAGGAGGGACGAAGCCACUCGGGUUAAUAGCCCAGAGGGUGACGGUAACUCAAGAAUAAGGGACGGCUAACUACGUGCCAGCAGCCGCAGUAA